GGGAAUUUUCCGCAAUGGGCGAAAGCCUGACGGAGCAACGCCGCGUGAGGGAUGAAGGCCUCUGGGCUGUAAACCUCUUUUAUCAAGGAAGAAGAUCUGACGGUACUUGAUGAAUAAGCCACGGCUAAUUCCGUGCCAGCAGCCGCGGUAAUACGGGAGUGGCAAGCGUUAUCCGGAAUUAUUGGGCGUAAAGCGUCCGCAGGCGGUCUUGUAAGUCUGUCGUCAAAGCGUGGAGCUUAACUCCAUUUAAGCGAUGGAAACUGCAAGACUAGAGUGUGGUAGGGGCAGAGGGAAUUCCCGGUGUAGCGGUGAAAUGCGUAGAUAUCGGGAAGAACACCAGUGGCGAAGGCGCUCUGCUGGGCCAUAACUGACGCUCAUGGACGAAAGCUAGGGGAGCGAAAGGGAUUAGAUACCCCUGUAGUC
This 423-nucleotide ribosomal RNA is filed under the name uncultured cyanobacterium. Its description in RNAcentral is "bacterial SSU rRNA". It matches the Rfam family "Bacterial small subunit ribosomal RNA", at positions 357 to 795 of the family's 1533-position model. The record is from RNAcentral. Lineage: Bacteria; Bacillati; Cyanobacteriota.